UAGGGAAUCUUCGGCAAUGGGGGCAACCCUGACCGAGCAACGCCGCGUGAGUGAAGAAGGUUUUCGGAUCGUAAAGCUCUGUUGUAAGAGAAGAACGUGUGUUAGAGUGGAAAGUUCACACAGUGACGGUAACUUACCAGAAAGGGACGGCUAACUACGUGCCAGCAGCCGCGGUAAUACGUAGGUCCCGAGCGUUGUCCGGAUUUAUUGGGCGUAAAGCGAGCGCAGGCGGUUUAAUAAGUCUGAAGUUAAAGGCAGUGGCUUAACCAUUGUUCGCUUUGGAAACUGUUAAACUUGAGUGCAGAAGGGGAGAGUGGAAUUCCAUGUGUAGCGGUGAAAUGCGUAGAUAUAUGGAGGAACACCGGUGGCGAAAGCGGCUCUCUGGUCUGUAACUGACGCUGAGGCUCGAAAGCGUGGGGAGCAAACAGG
RNAcentral lists this ribosomal RNA (429 nucleotides) under bacterium. Its description in RNAcentral is "partial 16S ribosomal RNA". It matches the Rfam family "Bacterial small subunit ribosomal RNA", at positions 355 to 776 of the family's 1533-position model. The record is from RNAcentral.